CACGACGGUGGACAGGGAGGGACAGUGCAGGAGGGAGAGUGGAGAGCUGCCCGGAGGCUCCACUGCCCAGUUCUCUGCUUCAGCACCGGGGACAGAGCUGGUGCCUGGGGUUUCAGGACUCUGGACAGAGCCAGCUACCCGGGUCCUUUUCCCACCCUCCUCUGCCCCUUGCUGGCACUGAGCAGCCACACAGCUGUACCCACUCAAACUGGCCGUGGGGCCCUCCCUGGGCCAGCCUUGGCCACGCCUCACCUGGGCCCUCUGCAGUCCUGCCCAGGGAACCUCGGGCCUACUGCGGCCCGUGGGCGAGGCAGCUCUGGUGAGCCCCGUCCUGACCCACCUCGGGGCAUCGCCCUCUCUGCCCUGCCAGCACCUCCCGUGAGCUGCCCAUCUGUGUUCCCCCUCCAGCCUGGCACCCGGUGGGCACCCAACUCUGCUGCAGGGACGAGUGCACAGAGUUCCAGAAAUGACUUCUAAAUCAUCAGAUGUGCGGAGUCUCGUGACGGCAGGGCCUGUGUGACGUGCUCCACACACUCUGCUGCUUACAGGUACCACACUGGGGCCACCGCGGAGCCACGUGCGCCAGCUCACGCACCAGGAGGAGGCAGAGCUGGACCCAAACGCUGCCCGUGCCCUUGACAGAGACUCCUCC
This 652-nucleotide long non-coding RNA is filed under the name Marmota monax (woodchuck). Lineage: Eukaryota; Metazoa; Chordata; Mammalia; Rodentia; Sciuridae. The record is from RNAcentral.